Molecule: long non-coding RNA, 1430 nt
Organism: Neocloeon triangulifer
Lineage: Eukaryota; Metazoa; Arthropoda; Insecta; Ephemeroptera; Baetidae
Exons: 3
Source: RefSeq, a predicted model, not a curated record
UUUUUUUAAUAGGUGACGUUCCUCUCGCGCUUCCUUGACAUUUCACCAAUCCUUGCAUGCCCACGCACCAGCCCCAUCAUUUUCAAAGCAUGCCUUGCACUAAUUCCACCCUCAUCCACCCCCUAAACCCAGAUUAACGUAGAUGGCUCAUUCCUUUUCACAUUAAUUUUAGAUUUAUUUGUGAUUAAAUUACUGGGUGACCAUCAAAUCUUCCUUCCUUGCCUUCUCUCAUUUCCUGACCAACAUCCUCAAUCCCUUACAAAAUUUCAAGGGGUGCCUUGGCCUGUUUUUCCCACUCGGCAUGUCGUCCACCGUUUUCUCCUUCGCUCGUCUCCUGUUUGAAUCACUUUUAAUUAUUAUUUUUUUAAUAGGUGACGUUCCUCUGGCCCUUCUUUGGUCUUUCAGCAAGCCAUGCAAGCCCACCGAGCAGCAACAUCAUUUGCAAAGCGUGCCCCACUUUCAAUCCACCCUCAACAACCCACGCACAUCGAGUAAAGCAGCCGGCUUAAUAUUUUUGUGACGUCCCUCUGGCCCUUCUUUGGUCUUUCAGCAAGCCAUGCAAGCCCACCGAGCAGCAACAUCAUUUGCAAAGCGUGCCUCACUUUCAAUCCACCCUCAACAACCCACGCACAUCGAGUAAAGCAGCCGGCUUAAUAUUUUUGUGACGUCCCUCUGGCCCUUCUUUGGUCUUUUAGCAAGCCAUGCAAGCCCACCGAGCAGCAACAUCAUUUGCAAAGCGUGCCUCACUUUCAAUCCACCCUCAACAACCCACGCACAUCGAGUAAAGCAGCCGGCUUAAUAUUUUUGUAAGUAAAUUUUAUAUUUAUUUUCUAUUUAAUUUCUAAGUGACCUUCAACUCUCCCAUCUUUGCCUUCUCUCUCUUCCUGACCAACAUCCUCAAUCCCUUACAAAAUUUCAAGGGGUGCCUUGGCCUUUUUGACCCUCAAGGCGCUACGUCCGUUAUUUACACUUUAGCAUGAACUAUGCUGAAAUCACUUUUAAUUUUUAUUUUUUUAAUAGGUGACGUUCCUCGUUUCCUUGACAUUUCACCAAUCCUUGCAUGCCCACACACCAGCCCCAUCAUUUUCAAAGCAUGCCUUGCACUAAUUCCACCCUCAUCCACCCCCUUAACCCAGAUUAACGUAGAUGGCUCAUUCCUUUUCACAUUAAUUUUAGAUUUAUUUGGGAUUAAAUUACUGAUUUACCUUCAACUCUCCCAUCUUAGCCUUCUCUCUCUUCCUGACCAACAUCCUCAAUCCCUUACAAAAUUUCAAGGGGUGCCUUGGCCUUUUUGACCCUCAAGGCGCUACGUCCGUUAUUUACGCUUUAGCAUGAACUAUGCUGAAAUCACUUUUAAUUUUUAUUUUUUUAAUAGGUGACGUUCCUCUCGCGCGUCCUUGACAUUUCACCAAUCCUUGCAUGCCCACGCA